GUGCUUGCUUUGGCAGCACAUAUGCUACAAAUGGAACAACACAGAGAAGGUUAGCAUGGCCCCUGCACAAGGAUGACACAUAGAUUCAUGAAGCAUUCCAUAUUUUU
This is a small nuclear RNA of Aotus nancymaae (Ma's night monkey), 107 nucleotides long. NCBI's taxonomy places the organism in Eukaryota, Metazoa, Chordata, Mammalia, Primates, Aotidae. The record is from Ensembl.